AUUAUGAGGGUCUCCAUCAGUUUCUAUUAUUAUGAGGGUCUCCAUCAGUUUCUAUUAUGAGGGUCUCCAUCACAUUCUAUUAUUAUGAGGGUCUCCAUCACAUUCUAUUAUUAUGAGGGUCUCCAUCAGUUUCUAUUAUUAUGAGGGUCUCCAUCAGGUUUUAUUAUUAUGAGGGUCUCCAUCAGAUUCUAUUAUUAUGAGGGUCUCCAUCACAUUCUAUUAUUAUGAGGGUCUCCAUCACAUUCUAUUAUUAUGAGGGUCUCCAUCAGUUUCUAUUAUUAUGAGGGUCUCCAUCAGGUUUUAUUAUUAUGAGGGUCUCCAUCAGGUUUUAUUAUUAUGAGGGUCUCCAUCACAUUCUAUUAUUAUGAGGGUCUCCAUCACAUUCUAUUAUUAUGAGGGUCUCCAUCACAUUCUAUUAUUAUGAGGGUCUCCAUCAAUUCUAUUAUUAUGAGGGUCUCCAUCACAUUCUAUUAUUAUGAGGUCUCCAUCACAUUCUAUUAUUAGAGGGUCUCCAUCACAUUCUAUUAUUAGAGGGUCUCCAUCACAUUCUAUUAUUAGAGGGUCUCCAUCACAUUCUAUUAUUAUGAGGGUCUCCAUCACAUUCUAUUAUUAUGAGGGUCUCCAUCACAUUCUAUUAUUAUGAGGGUCUCCAUCACAUUCUAUUAUUAUGAGGGUCUCCAUCAGUAACCCGGUGCACCACCAGACUGGAUAUCGGGCUCCCGGAUUGCAUGGGAGAGCUCUAAAAGGUGCCAUCGGGAGGAGGGGGGAGGGGGGAAAGUCCGUCCCCUCCCACUGCCUGUAAAAACCAUCCAGCAGCUAAUCAGCCGCUAGGAUGUCUUUUACACCCCAGGCUGAAAGAAAAGAUCCCGGGAUGAAGCCUGUAGCUCCACCCAUCAUCCCGGUAUAACCGCUGAAAGUCCAGGACGUCCACCCGUCAGGAAGGGGUUAAAGAGGAACUCCUCCCUUAUUAUAAAUAAGACAAAACAAAGCCUCUGGAGACGUGAUUAGUAAUGGUUUCUAUUUUUUUUCUCUUCAGUCGUAUCACAGCGGCCAUUUUUACUCCUGGAACAUGUGACAGGAAGUUCCCAGGAUGCGUCUCAUGAGGGCGGAGUGACGACACUCAGAAUACCAGAAACUGCUCCAUCGUUCCUCCAUUCUGCACAGGUGUCUGUGAUUGUUACAGGUGACGGUGCCUCAAUUCCAUACCUUCCAAUGAAAUCUCGGGGCAUCACAUAGUCGCGGGCCAAUCCGGCUGGAUCAGGGAACUCUCUCUGGGCUCCAUCGUUCCUCCAUUCUGCACAGGUGUCUGUGAUUGUUACAGGUGACGGUGCCUCAAUUCCAUACCUUCCAAUGAAAUCUCGGGGCAUCACAUAGUCGCGGGCCAAUCCGGCUGGAUCAGGGAACUCUCUCUGGGGGGACGUGGAGACGUCGGGAGAUCAGAAACGAGCGAUUCCUACAAGACGCCAUCGGAAAUUAGAGGUGGGAUUCCGAUCUCAAUGAUGGAGCUUCACAGAACUUACACCCAUUUUCCGAAUAUUUCAUUUCCACUCCAGGGCUGAACAACCUUUCUUAUAAGUUGUAGCGAGUUCUCCGUAGCAGCAGGAUCCGGCGGCGGUGCGUCCAUAAAGGGCGCAGGAGCUCCGCCCCCUCUCUCCUGUCACCACUCUAAUCCCCAUAGAUAGAUUGGUGCAUUGCAUGAAUCUCUCUAUGGUCGCUGCUGACACCCCCUAUUCAGGUGUCCGGCCCCUUUUCGGGCGCCGGGCACCUAAAUUACAGCGGCGGGGUGUUCUUUGGAAGCUCCUGAUUGGAGACGUCGGCUCUAAUAGGCAUCCAGAAAUGUGAGAAGCGUGCGCCACACUGCGCGUUUCGCUUCUCACUCAGCUGUGUGGUAGCAAAACAAAGGAAUUCGCUUUGCUAACAUUAAACGCCCUUUCAGCCAAUCGGGUGCGCCGGGUCUGUGUUACCUGU
Rana temporaria (common frog) is the source of this 1968-nucleotide long non-coding RNA. RefSeq lists it as uncharacterized. Lineage: Eukaryota; Metazoa; Chordata; Amphibia; Anura; Ranidae. The transcript is spliced from 4 exons. The record is from RefSeq and is a predicted model, not a curated record.